UGUCCUUGCAGGGCCUGGACGCAGAGACCAGAGGCCGGAACUGGCAGACUGUCCUCACAGGCUGUGUGACACUGGCUAGUCGUCCCAUCUCUCUGGGGCCCCACAGGACCGGGGACCAGGUUGUGGAAUGACAGUGGACUACAGUGGUCGGGGGACCGGCUCGUUGGCGGCAGGCACAGGCCCGUGUGAUGGGGACAAUGAGCUUUGGUAUUUGUGAGUCCUGUCCAGAGCAUAGGUCCUCCUGUUCAGAAGCCACCUCAUAAACGUCCCCAAUGCCUCCCGGACUUAGGAAGGCAACCCCUUGUGGUUCUGGCCAGUUGGGGACACGGGGCCUGGGAGCCCAUGCUGCUCAGAACAGGCUCAGCUGCAUCUAAUCCCAGGGGAGCCCCUGAGGAGCCUGCACACCCCCCAGGCUGGCCCACAGGAGCUGAGGCGGGGCUCUCCUCCAGGUUGACCUCCUGGGCUCACAGCCCCUUCCCCACAUCCCAAGGCCAGCUCUGCAGAGUCAUGGGGAGAAGAAGCCGGAGCCCCAGCCACACUCGCCACACACACGACACCCACUCUGGUGUCCUCCGGCCAGCGACAGCGAGGGACAGAGGGACGCCCCCUGCACCUGCCCAGUCCAGAGGCUUCUUGGGUGAUGCCAGGCCCUGCUCCCAGCCCUGUGCGCCCCGCUAAAGACCCCAUGUCUCACCAUGAAGGAGUCCAGGAGAGUUUAAGCUUCUACCUGGUCUGAGCACUUUUCUGGAAACUAAAUAGCCACUCGGCUUCCCACUGGCAGCGGGAGAGCGUGGUGUGAGGGGCGGUUUCCGAACUCCCCCGCAAGUCCCCUCCCCUGCACCCCACUUCCUCCGGCCUGCCGUCUCCAGGCAGGGUUGAGGGGGGCAAGCCAGGCCUGCGGCUGGUGUCAGGGAUUAUAGACAGCCACAGCAGGGGAGGUGGGGAGAAGUCUGCAGGCUUGGGCAGGCGGCUCUGUAAAGGAUGCGGGUGCUCUGUGGUGGUGAGAGACAGGGUGUGCAGCAGACGUGGCCAUAAAUCACCCUCCUCAUGGCAGUCCCACACCCACGGACCAGGGCACGGGCACAGGGCCAUCUCUUUCCAGGAGAAGGGCUGGUGUGGGUGGCCAGAUCCUGACGGUCCCCAGGCCAUAGGACAGAGCCAGAAGACAGAGCAGUUCCUCCGUUUACCCCAGCAGCAGCAUCACAGUAACAGCCGGCACACAGCACUUAGGCUUCGGGUUGUUCCAGAAGCUUCUGCAGGGGCCCUAUGCUGAGCUCAAGGCACCCCUAAGAGGAGGGCAUUUUGCUGUCCCCACUUUACCGAGAAGGAACUUGGGCUCAGGGUGGUUUAAGGCGUGAAUGAAUGAAGGAGCAAGCAGUAAGUCCCGACAGCAAGGCCACCACAGCCCUCACCCCACAGGGACGCCUGAGCAAGGACCCAAGCAGGGGACAAGCAGGCUCACCCCGCCCUUGCGGGGCUGACCACGAGGCCCGGUCCGGUGGAACGCGCCAUGACACUUCAGAAGGCUCGUGUAGCUGGCGCCGUAUCGGACAGCGGGGGACAGAGAAAAUGCACAGCCCAGGGAAAUGUGGAGACAGGCCCAACGCCAGGCAUGGGGGCCGGAAGGAGCAGCUGGGGAGCAGGGGGCAGGGCCUGGAGUCCCGCCUUGCAGGUCAGAGAUCUGAACCUGCCUCAGCCCCAGGACUCUGAGUGCAGCCAGAGGGGAGCCGGGCUGGAGAGUGGGGAGCACGGAGACUGUGGCCUGGACGGUGCCAGAGCAAACAGGAGAAAGGCUCCCCCACGCAGAGGCUGCGGCACAGCCCAGCGGGUCCCGGGGCUGACUGGGUGGGAGCAGCUCCCAGCGAGAGGCCCCUGGGAUUUGGGUAAGUAGAGGCACAUGCAGACUCUGGCCACAGGGCACCUCGCGCAUGAGGGGAGUUCACCACACAAGCUGAGUGGAGGGCGGACGCAGGAGAACAGCGGUUUCUUGGAAGCCAAGGGCAGUCAUGGAGCCCCACGCCACAGCGCUUCCCACGGGGCCACACCAUCCGGUCUGCGGAGGGAGCUGCAUUGCCAGGAAGGACCAUCUGAUUCUGGAUUCCAGCCUCACCCUGGGCCACCGCUGAGUGUCCCAAGUGGCCCCUUAGCCCCCAGGGCCAGGCGGCAUCCCAAUCCCCUUGGGAUGUUGUGCUCAGAAUGUGGCACACACACCCUGGCAGGGCCAUCCUCCUCCUCCUGCACCCGGCAUGGCCGUGGGUUCAGGGUCUCUAUCGUGGGCAGAGAUUCACAAAGUCAAGGUGAGGGUCCCAGAAGCAGCUGUGACCAGGCCCUGGCUGCCAGGGAGAGGGGGUCCUCAGCCGACAGGGCAGACACCCGGAGAUGGACCCUCGUCCAGGGGAGGGCCCUGCCGCCCACAAUUCCUUGGCAUUCCUGCACCAGCAGGAUGGGCUGAGGGAGGCGCCUUGCCGGUGUCAGUGCCCAGCAUCACUGUGCCCCGGUGGAGGGGGAGGCCUUUCCGAGCCUGGGCCUGGGUGUGAACGAGGGCAGGUUUCUCACCUCUCUGACCUCAGCUUCCUCAACUGGGAAGGGGGGCCGCAGCACCCCCUUAGGGGUGAUGAGGAAGUGGGAGCUCAGGGAGGGCCCUGGGCAGGGCUGCCUCCUCACCUCCCUUCAGCCUUUGGACACUGGAGCUCAGAGGACCAAGCAAAUGAAUGAAUGAAUGACUCAAUCAAUCAACUGAUGCAUCAAUCCAUGGACCCCUGAACAGCUGGACAGCUGGGCUGUGGGCAGGAUGGGGGACUCUGGCCGAAGCCACGUUCAUAUGUGUUCAGCUUUGUGAGUGGGGUGAGGUUGAGGGCUUAUUCAGUGAGGGGGGAGGGGUGCACGGCAGGGCCAGUACCCUCGGAGGGUCAGGCCACAGAGGGCGGGGACACCUGCCAGGAUGCCCAACCCCAGAGGCGGUGCGAGCCGCUGGGGAGCCGUGGUUCCAGUCAGCGGUGGCUGUGAUGAGGGCUGCUCCCACUUCAUCCGCAGGAUUCCAGCCGCAGCCGCCCCACACCCAAGCUGUCCCUAGUCACCCACCACGGCCGGACAAAGCCCCCGGCAGCCAAGGUGCUCCGCGGGGCGGGUUUCUUGGGUUUCUUGAAGCCAGUAUUUCCCAUGGUAUCUUACGUCCCAGAAGAGGCCUCCACUGUGCCUGGACCAGCGGCCCACUCGGUGAGUCGAGUGUGCACCUGGCACCCCUCUUUCUGGAAAUCCACGAACACUGGGCUCCCAGCAGAGGACUGAGGCUGAGCAGGCCACUUCCCUGGAGCUGACCCCACAGCUGUGUAGGUACAGGGUGGCUGUGAACACUUAGGGCUCUCUCGGGCUGUGCGCUUCUUGGCUCCUGACCAAGCCCUGUCACUGCUGCCCAGCCCCACUUGGGGCCCCCUUCACCCACCCCUGACCACCUCAUGCAGGUGAAGUCACUAUGGAAACAGCCUGGCAGUCCCUCGAAAAAUGAAGUCAUAAACCCCAGCAAUUGCACUCCUGGGCCUAUGACAGAGCUUGCACAUCCCCUCCAAAGCUCAUGUUUAGCUGUGAGCCCCAGUGCCGGAGGUGGGGCCUGGUGUAUUUUGGUCCUGGGGGCGGAUCCCUCAUGGCUGGGUGCCAUGCACCCACUCACCACAGUGAGUUCUCGCGAGAUCUGGUUGUUGAAAAGUGUAUGGUACCUCCCCCACAACUCUCUGUCUUUUGUUCCGGCUCUGGCCAUGUAACAAGCCUGCUCCUCCUUCGCCUUCUGCCGUGACUGUAAGCUUUCUGAGGGCUGACCAGAAGCCCAGCAGAUGCCAGCACCAUGCUUCCUAUACAGCCUGCAGAACCGCGAGCCAGCUAAACCUCUCCUUAUAAAUCACCCAGCCCCAGGUUUAUCUUUACAGCAAUGCAAGACCUGACUAAUACAGCACAAGCUCCCCAAAAUAAAAAGAAAUAUUCAAAUAGGCACACAGGAGUGUUCCCAGCGGCACUAUUCACUGCAGCCAAAAGGUGGAGGAGCCACAGGCCUGUCAGCUGAUGAUAGACAAAGAAAGCAUGGCCUGUCAUCCCAGCACUUUGGGAGGCCGAGGCGGGCAGAUCACCUGAGGUCGGGAGUUCAAGACCAGCCUGGACAACAUGGUGAAACCCAGUCUCUACUAAAAAUAUAAAAAUUAGCCGGCUGUGGUGAUGAGUUCCUGUAGUCCCAGCUACUUGGGAGGCUGAGGGACAAGAAUUGCUUGAACCCGGGAGGCAGAGGUUGCAGUGAACCGAGAUCAUGCCAUUGCUCUCCAGCCUGGGUAACAGAGUGAGACUCUGUCUCUAAA
Molecule: long non-coding RNA, 4340 nt
Organism: Pongo pygmaeus (Bornean orangutan)
Lineage: Eukaryota; Metazoa; Chordata; Mammalia; Primates; Hominidae
Exons: 4
Source: RefSeq, a predicted model, not a curated record